This 497-nucleotide ribosomal RNA is filed under the name uncultured bacterium. RNAcentral's name for it is "partial 16S ribosomal RNA". It matches the Rfam family "Bacterial small subunit ribosomal RNA", at positions 28 to 507 of the family's 1533-position model. The record is from RNAcentral.
GAUGAACGCUGGCGGCGUGCCUAAUACAUGCAAGUCGAGCGGACAGAUGAGGAGCUUGCUCCUCUGACGUUAGCGGCGGACGGGUGAGUAACACGUGGAUAACCUACCUAUAGGACUGGGAUAACUUCGGGAAACCGGAGCUAAUACCGGAUAAUAUAUUGAACCGCAUGGUUCAAUAGUGAAAGACGGUUUUGCUGUCACUUAUAGAUGGAUCCGCGCCGCAUUAGCUAGUUGGUAAGGUAACGGCUUACCAAGGCAACGAUGCGUAGCCGACCUGAGAGGGUGAUCGGCCACACUGGAACUGAGACACGGUCCAGACUCCUACGGGAGGCAGCAGUAGGGAAUCUUCCGCAAAGGGCGAAAGCCUGACGGAGCAACGCCGCGUGAGUGAUGAAGGUCUUCGGAUCGUAAAACUCUGUUAUUAGGGAAGAACAAAUGUGUAAGUAACUAUGCACGUCUUGACGGUACCUAAUCAGAAAGCCACGGCUAACUACGUG